UGUAAACAUCCUACACUCUCAGCUGUGACUUUGCGGUGGCUGGGAGAAGGUUGUUUACGCC
Molecule: microRNA precursor, 61 nt
Filed under: Gekko japonicus
Lineage: Eukaryota; Metazoa; Chordata; Lepidosauria; Squamata; Gekkonidae
Description: Gja-Mir-30-P2d_pre stem-loop
Rfam family: mir-30 microRNA precursor family
About the family: This family consists of the mammalian microRNA (miRNA) precursor mir-30a. Animal miRNAs are transcribed as ~70nt precursors and subsequently processed by the Dicer enzyme to give a ~22nt product.
Source: RNAcentral